GAUAUGAGUCGUAUCGCGGAACGGUACGCGUUAGGUGGUUUGUAAUGCGUUAUGACUCAGAUCAUAAUGUCACUGUCAGCGGCUGAUGAUCGAGAUUGUUAGAACGAGCGAACAAGUUUAUUCACAACGAUAAGAUGUCCUACAAUCUACAUGAAAUGAUAUGAGUCGUAUCGCGGAACGGUACGCGUUAGGUGGUUUGUAAUGCGUUAUGACUCAGAUCAUAAUGUCACUGUCAGCGGCUGAUGAUCGAGAUUGUUAGAACGAGCGAACAAGUUUAUUCACAACGAGAAGAUGUCGUACAAUCUACUCAUUAUGAAUGAAAUUAUAUGAAACGUAUCGCGGAACCGUACGCCUUAGGUGGUUUGUAAUGCGUUAUGACUCAGAUCAUAAUGUCACUGUCAGCGGCUGAUGAUCGAGAUUGUUAGAACGAGCGAACAAGUUUAUUCACAACGAGAAGAUGUCGUACAAUCUACUCAUUAUGAAUGAAAUUAUAUGAAACGUAUCGCGGAACCGUACGCCUUAGGUGGUUUGUAAUGCGUUAUGACUCAGAUCAUAAUGUCACUGUCAGCGGCUGAUGAUCGAGAUUGUUAGAACGAGCGAACAAGUUUAUUCACAACGAGAAGAUGUCGUACAAUCUACUCAUUCUGAAUAAAAUGAUAUGAGUCGUAUCGCGGAACCGUACGCCUUAGGUGGUUUGUAAUGCGUUAUGACUCAGAUCAUAAUGUCACUGUCAGCGGCUGAUGAUCGAGAUUGUUAGAACGAGCGAACAAGUUUAUUCACAACGAGAAGAUGUCGUACAAUCUACUCAUUCUGAAUAAAAUGAUAUGAGUCGUAUCGCGGAACCGUACGCCUUAGGUGGUUUGUAAUGCGUUAUGACUCAGAUCAUAAUGUCACUGUCAGCGGCUGAUGAUCGAGAUUGUUAGAACGAGCGAACAAGUUUAUUCACAACGAGUAGAUGUCCUACAAUCUACAUGAAAUGAUAUGAGUCGUAUCGCGGAACGGUACGCGUUAGGUGGUUUGUAAUGCGUUAUGACUCAGAUCAUAAUGUCACUGUCAGCGGCUGAUGAUCGAGAUUGUUAGAACGAGCGAACAAGUUUAUUCACAACGAUAAGAUGUCCUACAAUCUACAUGAAAUGAUAUGAGUCGUAUCGCGGAACGGUACGCGUUAGGUGGUUUGUAAUGCGUUAUGACUCAGAUCAUAAUGUCACUGUCAGCGGCUGAUGAUCGAGAUUGUUAGAACGAGCGAACAAGUUUAUUCACAACGAUAAGAUGUCCUACAAUCUACAUGAAAUGAUAUGAGUCGUAUCGCGGAACGGUACGCGUUAGGUGGUUUGUAAUGCGUUAUGACUCAGAUCAUAAUGUCACUGUCAGCGGCUGAUGAUCGAGAUUGUUAGAACGAGCGAACAAGUUUAUUCACAACGAGAAGAUGUCGUACAAUCUACUCAUUCUGAAUAAAAUGAUAUGAGUCGUAUCGCGGAACCGUACGCCUUAGGUGGUUAGUAAUGCGUUAUGACUCAGAUCAUAAUGUCACUGUCAGCGGCUGAUGAUCGAGAUUGUUAGAACGAGCGAACAAGUUUAUUCACAACGAGAAGAUGUCGUACAAUCUACUCAUUCUGAAUGAAAUGAUAUGAGUCGUAUCGCGGAACGGUACGCCUUAGGUGGUUUGUAAUGCGUUAUGACUCAGAUCAUAAUGUCACUGUCAGCGGCUGAUGAUCGAGAUUAUUAGAACGAGCGAACAAGUUUAUUCACAACGAGAAGAUGUCGUACAAUCUACUCAUUAUGAAUGAAAU
Leptidea sinapis is the source of this 1790-nucleotide long non-coding RNA. RefSeq lists it as uncharacterized. The record is from RefSeq and is a predicted model, not a curated record. NCBI's taxonomy places the organism in Eukaryota, Metazoa, Arthropoda, Insecta, Lepidoptera, Pieridae. The transcript is spliced from 12 exons.